GUGCAGCAGGCGCGAAACUUCUGCAAUGCGCGAAAGCGUGACAGAGCCAUCCCAGGUGCUUCCCGCUGAGGGAAGCUUUUCUCCAGUCUAAAAAGCUGGAGGAAUAAGAGGGGGGCAAGCCGGGUGUCAGCCGCCGCGGUAAUACCCGCUCCCCGAGUGGUGAGGGCGAUUAUUGGGCUUAAAGCGUCCGUAGCCGGCUCUACAAGUCUUCCGUAAAAUCCAAAGGCCUAACCUUUGGGUCGCGGAAGAUACUGUAGGGCUUGGAGGCGGGAGAGGUCGCGGGUACUUCCUGGGUAGGGGCGAAAUCCUCUGAUCCAGGAAGGACCACCAGUGGCGAAGGCGCGCGGCCAGAACGCGCUCGACGGUGAGGGACGAAAGCUGGGGGAGCGAACCGGAUUAGAUACCCGGGUAGUCCCAGCUGUAAACGAUGCGGACUAAGCGUCGGAGUGGGUACGGCCUACUCCGGUGCUGCAGGGAAACCAUUAAGUCCGCCGCCUGGGGAGUACGGCCGCAAGGCUGAAACUUAAAGGAAUUGGCGGGGGAGCAC
RNAcentral lists this ribosomal RNA (547 nucleotides) under uncultured archaeon. RNAcentral's name for it is "bacterial SSU rRNA". It matches the Rfam family "Archaeal small subunit ribosomal RNA", at positions 330 to 879 of the family's 1478-position model. The record is from RNAcentral.